UACGGAGGGUGCAAGCGUUAUUCGGAAUUACUGGGCGUAAAGCGCGUGCAGGCGGGAAGGUCAGUCUGAUGUGAAAGCCCCGGGCUUAACCUGGGAAGUGCAUUGGAAACUGCUUUUCUUGAGUACUGGAGAGGAAGGGAGAAUUCCCGGUGUAGAGGUGAAAUUCGUAGAGAUCGGGAGGAACACCAGUGGCGAAGGCGCCCUUCUGGACAGUUACUGACGCUGAGACGCGAAAGCGUGGGGAGCAAACAGG
This 253-nucleotide ribosomal RNA is filed under the name uncultured bacterium. RNAcentral's name for it is "partial 16S ribosomal RNA". It matches the Rfam family "Bacterial small subunit ribosomal RNA", at positions 524 to 776 of the family's 1533-position model. The record is from RNAcentral.